RNAcentral lists this unclassified non-coding RNA (329 nucleotides) under soil metagenome. RNAcentral describes it as "partial contains 5.8S ribosomal RNA, internal transcribed spacer 2, and large subunit ribosomal RNA". The stretch from base 1 to 120 matches the Rfam family "5.8S ribosomal RNA", at positions 35 to 154 of the family's 154-position model. The record is from RNAcentral.
GAUGAAGAGCGUAGCGAAAUGCGAUAAGUAAUGUGAAUUGCAGAAUUCAGUGAAUCAUCGAAUCUUUGAACGCACAUUGCGCCCCUUGGUAUUCCGAGGGGCAUGCCUGUUCGAGCGUCAUUAUAACCCCUCAAGCUCAGCUUGGUGUUGGGGCCUGCUGCACUGGCAGCCCUUAAAAUCAGUGGCGGCGCCAUCUGGCUCUAAGCGUAGUAAUUCUUCUCGCUAUGGAGUCCUGGUGGAUGCUUGCCAUCAACCCCCAAUUUUUCUAUGGUUGACCUCGGAUCAGGUAGGGAUACCCGCUGAACUUAAGCAUAUCAAUAAGCGGAGGA